AUCUGCCCAGUAGUGGGGAACAACUCCGAGAAAUCGGAGCUAAUACCGCAUACGGUAGGUGUUGAAGGACAUCAUACUAAAGCUCGCAAGGGCGCUAUUGGAGGAACCUGCGGCUGAUUAGCUAGUUGGUGGGGUAAAGGCCUACCAAGGCGAUGAUCAGUAGCUGGUCUGAGAGGAUGGACAGCCACACUGGGACUGAGAUACGGCCCAG
RNAcentral lists this ribosomal RNA (211 nucleotides) under uncultured bacterium. Its description in RNAcentral is "partial 16S ribosomal RNA". It matches the Rfam family "Bacterial small subunit ribosomal RNA", at positions 124 to 334 of the family's 1533-position model. The record is from RNAcentral.